Long non-coding RNA from Protopterus annectens (West African lungfish), 967 nucleotides. RefSeq lists it as uncharacterized. The record is from RefSeq and is a predicted model, not a curated record. The transcript has 4 exons. NCBI's taxonomy places the organism in Eukaryota, Metazoa, Chordata, Ceratodontiformes, Protopteridae.
CCAGCUGGUGGGAUCGUGCCUGCCUUCCUUCUCUCAGGUCCUCCUGUCCGCUGGAUUACUAGCCCGGUGUCACGCUCCGAUAGGUCCUUAAAGCUGCUGGGUAUUAAUCCUAAUGGUCCCGUUUUCCAUAACCAGUACCCGGACUGCACUAAGAGAGGAGGCAGGGGGAGCCGGUGCUGGACGGUAAGUAUUACACGCACUGUUUAUGUGGGGCUGCCUCACCUCAGCGAUGCGCGAGAAGCCGUAGUGACUCCUUCUUCUCCUCCGCCUCUUCCGUGUGUGGAAAGACAGGGAGAGGCAGGCGACGUCGAGCGUCACUCAAGGCUCGCUCGCUGCCUUCUUUCACGGGCUAGUGAGGUGCAUUUGUCGUAGGUAGGUUACCCGUGGGGACGGCAAAGAGCACAAAGGUUAGUAAGGUGGGGAGAUGCUACAGCUGGAGCCUUCCCCGGUAUCUAAUAUGAGACCUGCCAUAAUCCAGUCGGGAAACGUCUGCACACUAAGGAUACUCAGAACCUGGUUGUGUAUAAACAGGAAUGGCAGCACAUAGAUUAAAGAUAAAGCCUGAAAGGCCACUGAAAAUUACCCUGACACUGCUUCAUGAAAAUGGACUUCCCCGAGCAGUUUGCAGAACUGUAUGAAAGGAAGCAUGAAUGGCAUGACAAAAUUCUGGUGAAUACACCUGAAACUGUGAAGGAAUGUCCAAAAGUUUGCCAAGAUUAAUAGGAAAUCAGUGACCAUUUUAUCUGUUUUUGUUUUUUGUUUUAUUAACUAUCUGACCAACUGAGUAUAAGUGCUGAUGAGGAAAAUGCCUCCAGGUAAUGGUUCAUUGUAAACAGAGAGUUGGGGAAGUUUAGGGAUUUGUAGUUAAUGCAUUUGCAAAUGUUGUCAAACCAUAUACUACUGGCCAAUCUUUUUGCAUCAAUGUUGGUCCUAGAUGACACUGACUUGCAUUCAUAUACAAUACAAU